UUCUUUUGAAUGCAGAGGUUGCAAGAAUAAGACUGACAUUGUUCAGGUGCAUAUUCCUUAUGCCUGUAAGCUGCUCUUCCAAGAGCUUAUGGCGAUGGCCAUAGCACCAAGGAUGCUCACAAAAGAUGUAAAACCGUCCAAAGACAAAAAGAAAAAAGGAGCCUAAUCUAACCAUCAGUAACUGGAAAUAUGUUGCCCUCUUUGAUGAGUCGAGUACAUGGUUUCAUCAGGUACGAUAUUUGGACACAAGGAUUGAAGCGCAGUAAAUUAAUGUUUCUGGAAUGAAUGGACAUUUGGGCAACCUCCUCGCUGUAUUUAGAAUCCUGCAAACUUUCUACUAGAGAUACAACGUGAGAGCAAAAUCAAUGAUUGGAUAGGCAGCACUUACAUUCGUUUUAGAGAUAUCAUGUGUGGGUACAAGUGGGCGCUCAAAGCAUUGCUCUCGUCAUCCAUGCUUGGAGAAAGCUUGUUGGAUGUUGUAAUGAAAACCAACAGUAUAGGUAUUAUUUUCACCUGCAAUUUUGUUUGGAAUAGAUGCGAUAUAUGCUCUAUGCUUAUCAUGGUGCAUAUUAAGAAUUUGUACUUCUUUCUUCAAAAAAAAAAAAACCAAAAAACAAAACUCCUGUAAUGAAUUAAGGGCUUGAAAUUGUACGAUAAUAUUUUAUUAAUUAC
RNAcentral lists this unclassified non-coding RNA (672 nucleotides) under Hevea brasiliensis (rubber tree). The record is from RNAcentral. Lineage: Eukaryota; Viridiplantae; Streptophyta; Magnoliopsida; Malpighiales; Euphorbiaceae.